UACGGAGGGUGCAAGCAUUAAUCGGAUUUAUUGGGCGUAAAGGGCGCGUAGGCGGGAAGAUAAGUCGGAUGUGAAAUCCCGGGGCUCAACCCCGGAACAGCAUCUGAAACUGUUUUUCUUGAGGGUAGGCGGAGAAAACGGAAUUCCACAAGUAGCGGUGAAAUGCGUAGAUAUGUGGAAGAACACCGGUGGCGAAGGCGGUUUUCUAGCUUAAACCUGACGCUGAGGCGCGAAAGCAAGGGGAUCAAACAGG
This 253-nucleotide ribosomal RNA is filed under the name uncultured bacterium. Its description in RNAcentral is "partial 16S ribosomal RNA". It matches the Rfam family "Bacterial small subunit ribosomal RNA", at positions 524 to 776 of the family's 1533-position model. The record is from RNAcentral.